UGAGCUACGUAGGGGAGGAAGUCGGAAUGGCGGCUUUUUCUCAGUUGGAGCCUUGAAAGUUACCCGGAGAGGUCUGAACGAGUGCGGUACGAGCAACUGGGCAGAAAGCAGGCGUAAAAAGAAAAAAAAAAAGACUGCGUUCCCAUGACGUACUAAACCACCGACCGAUCGAGUUAAUUGUAGUUUCAUCGUGUUCUGCGUGCUCAACUUGCGUGGUUGGUUUUGAAUUCAGUGCAUGAGGCUGCCUGAUUCCAGAUCACUCUGGAUGGCGUACGUGAUCAAUUAAAAGACAAAAACAAAGAAAGAAAAAGAAAGAAAAAAAGAAAAAGCAUGAAAAAUCUUGAACUUCCAGAUAGAUAAAUAUAAUGUUCCAAAAAUACCUAAAAAAAACACAAAAAACCAUGAGAGGGGCUUAGUAGCCAUCCUACCCUGCCAGGCCUGGGACCAAAACCAAGUUUUAAGUGACUUUCAAAAUGUUGGGACAAGAACUGUACAUAUCUUCAGAGGGAUGCAAUUCCAGAGAGCAGGCACAAUAUAGAAAUCCCAUUUCCUACAUCCCAAUAGAUGACACUGUUUUUGAACUGAAAGGACCUGGAGUGCACCCACUCUGCUCAGUCUUAUUGGAGGGCAGACUUUAUUGGAGGAAUUUUGCAGGAAAUCCGAGCUUCUGUACCACGCGAGCAUAUUUUCUGGCUGCCAGUCGUGACUGCUCUUCACUGCAAAUUUACAACAAGCAUUAAAAAACAAAGCCAGCCAGCAAAGCUUUACGACAAGAGAUUCUGGAUGGCUCAACUGAGAAGUGCUUCUUUCAUGAUACUGAGUCAUGUUUAUCAGAAGGGAAGGAGUGUGGACACCUUCAUUAUUUACUCCAGCUGGUGAGCAAUCUCUCUUCUCUCCACCCUGCAAUUACCAAGGGUACAUCAAAACAACUAAAAACAUGGAGAAACAGCCUUAAAGAUGAAGGAUUUGCAGCUGAACCAUGCUAUGAAAAUAUUAAGAGGCUGAAAUAUUUGAUAAGACAUUUGCUGUCUUGCUUGAAGAGGAGGGUAAGACAUAGACAGUGGAGAAACUGCCCAGGAUUGUUUGGAUUAAAAAAAAGUAGACAUUAGAAACAUGGGUAGUUUGAAACACUCAAAAGAUAGUUUACUAUAAAAGACACUUGUUUUAUGUACGUCUGUUACCUUGUAUUAUAAGAAUUGGCCAUCCAAUUCUGGAAAACUGUUUUUUUAUCAUAUGUUGAAUAUGAUGAUGCUGUGUUAUUAUGUCUCAAAAAUAUUGUAUGGUUUUAUAGUUGGCAAUUUUUGCACACAAAGCUGCUUAAUAAAUUUUCAUAU
Protobothrops mucrosquamatus (brown spotted pit viper) is the source of this 1334-nucleotide long non-coding RNA. RefSeq lists it as uncharacterized. Lineage: Eukaryota; Metazoa; Chordata; Lepidosauria; Squamata; Viperidae. The record is from RefSeq and is a predicted model, not a curated record. The transcript is spliced from 4 exons.